Molecule: ribosomal RNA, 309 nt
Filed under: Pseudo-nitzschia fraudulenta
Lineage: Eukaryota; Bacillariophyta; Bacillariophyceae; Bacillariales; Bacillariaceae
Description: partial Bacterial small subunit ribosomal RNA
Rfam family: Bacterial small subunit ribosomal RNA
Source: RNAcentral
AUAUGAGUUUGAUCCUGGCUCAGAAUGAACGUUGGCGGCAUGGAUUAGGCAUGCAAGUCGAGCGAGAACCAAGAAAGCUUGCUUUCGAGGGGACAGCGGCGAAAGGGAGAGUAACAGGUAGAUACCUACCUCCAGGCUGGGAAUAGCGUCGGGAAACUGGCGGUAAUGCCCAAUAACAUCUACGGAUCAAAGCUCCGGCGCCUGGAGAUGGGUCUGCUCACUAUUAGCUAGUUGGUAAGGUAAUGGCUUACCAAGGCGAUGAUAGUUAGGGGGUCUGAGAGGAUGAUCCCCCACACUGGCACUGAGAUA